GCUCGGAUGGUGGAACAGGCAGACACAAGGGACUUAAAAUCCCUCGACCGAAAGGUUAUGCGGGUUCGACCCCCGCUCCGAGCACCA
RNAcentral lists this transfer RNA (87 nucleotides) under Desulfovibrio sp. RNAcentral describes it as "tRNA-Leu". It matches the Rfam family "tRNA". Rfam says of the family: Transfer RNA (tRNA) molecules are approximately 80 nucleotides in length. Their secondary structure includes four short double-helical elements and three loops (D, anti-codon, and T loops). Further hydrogen bonds mediate the characteristic L-shaped molecular structure. tRNAs have two regions of fundamental functional importance: the anti-codon, which is responsible for specific mRNA codon recognition, and the 3' end, to which the tRNAs corresponding amino acid is attached (by aminoacyl-tRNA synthetases). tRNAs cope with the degeneracy of the genetic code in two manners: having more than one tRNA (with a specific anti-codon) for a particular amino acid; and 'wobble' base-pairing, i.e. permitting non-standard base-pairing at the 3rd anti-codon position. Lineage: Bacteria; Pseudomonadati; Thermodesulfobacteriota; Desulfovibrionia; Desulfovibrionales; Desulfovibrionaceae. The record is from RNAcentral.